RNAcentral lists this ribosomal RNA (253 nucleotides) under uncultured bacterium. RNAcentral's name for it is "partial 16S ribosomal RNA". It matches the Rfam family "Bacterial small subunit ribosomal RNA", at positions 524 to 776 of the family's 1533-position model. The record is from RNAcentral.
UACGAAGGGGGCUAGCGUUGCUCGGAAUUACUGGGCGUAAAGCGCACGUAGGCGGCUUCUUAAGUCGGUGGUGAAAUCCUGGAGCUCAACCCCAGAACUGCCUUCGAUACUGGGAAGCUCGAGUCCGGGAGAGGUGAGUGGAACUGCGAGUGUAGAGGUGAAAUUCGUAGAUAUUCGCAAGAACACCAGUUGCGAAGGCGGCUCACUGGCCCGGUACCUACGCUGAGGUGCGAAAGCGUGGGGAGCAAACAGG